UACGAAGGGGGCUAGCGUUGUUCGGAUUUACUGGGCGUAAAGCGCACGCAGGCGGUCAAUUAAGUCAGAUGUGAAAGUCCCGAGCUUAACUUGGGAAUUGCAUCUGAAACUGGUUGGCUAGAGUCUUGUAGAGGGGGGUAGAAUUCCAUGUGUAGCGGUGGAAUGCGUAGAGAUCUGGAGGAAUACCGGUGGCGAAGGCGGCCCCCUGGACGAAGACUGACGCUCAGGUGCGAAAGCGUGGGGAGCAAACAGG
This 253-nucleotide ribosomal RNA is filed under the name uncultured bacterium. Its description in RNAcentral is "partial 16S ribosomal RNA". It matches the Rfam family "Bacterial small subunit ribosomal RNA", at positions 524 to 776 of the family's 1533-position model. The record is from RNAcentral.